GACGAACGCUGGCGGCGUGCCUAAUACAUGCAAGUCGAGCGAAUGGCGAGAAGUUUGCUUCUCUGAUUUAGCGGCGGACGGGUGAGUAACACGUGGGCAACCUGCCCUACAGAUUGGGAUAACUCAGGGAAACCUGGGCUAAUACCGGAUAAUCCUUCGAAUCACAUGUUUUGAAGUUGAAAGGCGCUUCGGCGUCACUGUAGGAUGGGCCCGCGGUGCAUUAGCUAGUUGGUGGGGUAACGGCCUACCAAGGCAACGAUGCAUAGCCGACCUGAGAGGGUGGUCGGCAACAUUGGGCCUGAGUCACGGCCCAACCUCCUCCGGGAGGAAGCAGUAGGGAAUCUUCAACAAUGGACGAAAGUCUGAUGGAGCAACGCCGCGUGAGUGAUGAAGGUUUUCGGAUCGUAAAACUCUGUUGUAAGGGAAGAACAAGUACGUUAGGAAAUGAACGUACCUUGACGGUACCUUAUUAGAAAGCCACGGCUAACUACGUGCCAGCCGCCGCAGUAA
Molecule: ribosomal RNA, 510 nt
Filed under: uncultured bacterium
Lineage: Bacteria
Description: partial 16S ribosomal RNA
Rfam family: Bacterial small subunit ribosomal RNA
Source: RNAcentral